RNAcentral lists this ribosomal RNA (1906 nucleotides) under Macrostylis sp. ML08. RNAcentral describes it as "SSU rRNA". It matches the Rfam family "Eukaryotic small subunit ribosomal RNA". Lineage: Eukaryota; Metazoa; Arthropoda; Malacostraca; Isopoda; Macrostylidae. The record is from RNAcentral.
CCUAUUCUGGGUGAUCCUGCCAGUAGUCAUAUGCUUGUCUCAAAGAUUAAGCCAUGCAUGUCUAAGUACAAGCCUUAUUAAGGUGAAACCGCGAAUGGCUCAUUAAAUCACACCUAAUAUACAGGAUAGUAUCAGUUACUUGGAUAACUGCGGUAAUUCUGGAGCUAAUACAUGCAAAAAAGCCCUGAACUUACGUGAAGGGCGCUUUUAUUAGAUCAAAACCUAGAGGCCUUGGCCUUUAAUUUGGUGACUCUGAAUAACUUUGUGCAGAUCGCACGGAUUUUCUCCGGCGACGUAUCCUUCUAAGGUGUGCCCUAUCAACUGUCGACUGUGGCAUAGACGCCCACAGUGGUUUUGACGGGUAACGGGGAAUUAGGGUUCGAUUCCGGAGAGGGAGCCUGAGAAACGGCUACCACUUCUAAGGAAGGCAGCAGGCACGCAAAUUACCCACUGGUCGAAGACCGAGGUAGUGACGAAAAAUAACGAUGCCGGACUCAUCCGAGGCCCGGUAAUCGGAAUGAGCACACUUUAAAUCCUUUAACUAGGAACAAAUAGAGGGCAAGUCUGGUGCCAGCAGCCGCGGUAAUUCCAGCUCUAUAAGCGUAUACCAAUAUUGUUGCGGUUAAAAAGCUCGUAGUUGGAUCUCGGCGGACAGGGUGCGGUUCGAUAUUUGUCGAUACUGCUCCGUUUGUUCGUGUUUUUUGGCAGAGGUUCUGGGGUGCUCUUAAACGAGUGUCUCAGGAUGCUGUCGGGUUUACUUUGAAAAAAUUAGAGUGCUCAAAGCAGGCUUUACGCGCUUGAAUAUUCGUGCAUGGAAUAAUAGAAUAGGAUGUCGUUUCUAUUUUAUUGGUUUUCGGAAAUCGACAUAAUGAUUAAUAGGGACGGUCGGGGGCAUUAGUAUUCAGGCGACAGAGGUGAAAUUCUUGGACCGUCUGAAGACUAACAACUGCGAAAGCAUUUGCCAAGAAUGUUUUCAUUAAUCAAGAACGAAAGUUAGAGGUUCGAAGGCGAUCAGAUACCGCCCUAGUUCUAACCAUAAACGAUGCCAGCUAGCGAUCCGCGGAUGUUUUAUUACUAGGCUCCGCGGGAAGCUUCCGGGAAACCAAAGCUUUUGGGUUCCGGGGGAAGUAUGGUUGCAAAGCUGAAACUUAAAGGAAUUGACGGAAGGGCACCACCAGGGAUGGGGCCUGCGGCUUAAUUUGACUCAACACGGGAAAUCUCACCAGGCCCGGACACUGGAAGGAUUGACAGAUUGAGAGCUCUUUCUCGAUUCGGUGGGUGGUGGUGCAUGGCCGUUCUUAGUUGGUGGAGUGAUUUGUCUGGUUAAUUCCGAUAACGAACGAGACUCUAUCCUGCUAAAUAGAUUAGACGUCCUUUGUUACGUUUAAUUCUUCUUCUUAGAGGGACUAGCGGCGUUUAGCCGCGCGAGAUUGAGCAAUAACAGGUCUGUGAUGCCCUUAGAUGUUCUGGGCUGCACGCGCGCCACACUGAAGGGAUCAGCGUGUUCUCCCUCUCCGAGAGGAGCGGGUAACCGACUGAACCCCCUUCGUAGUAGGGAUCGGGGCUUGCAAUUAUUCCCCGUGAACCAGGAACCCCUAGUAAGCGCGAGUCAUAAGCUUGCGUUGAUUACGUCCCUGCCCUUUGUACACACCGCCCGUCGCUACUACCGAUUGAACGUUUUAGUGAGGUAUUCGGAUUGAGUUGUUCGAGGGGUAACCUUCGGAUUACAUGAAAAGAUUCCCAAACUUGAGCGUUUAGAGGAAGUAAAAGUCGUAACAAGGUUUCCGUAGGUGAACCUGCGGAAAAGGAUCAACCUACGGAAACCUUGUUACCACCUUUACUUCCCCUAGACCCCCCCUUUGGGGAAUCUUUCAGGUAAUCCCAAAGUUAACCCUCGAACAACUCA